Molecule: ribosomal RNA, 705 nt
Filed under: uncultured bacterium
Lineage: Bacteria
Description: bacterial SSU rRNA
Rfam family: Bacterial small subunit ribosomal RNA
Source: RNAcentral
CACGGGGAGGGGUUCGCGGCCUAUCAGCUAGUNGGGGGGGUNACGGCCCACCAAGGCGACGACGGGUAGCUGGUCUGAGAGGAUGGCCAGCCNCAUUGGGACUGAGAGACGGCCCAGANUCCUACGGGAGGCAGCAGUGGGGAAUCUUGCGCAAUGGCCGAAAGGCUGACGCAGCGACGCCGCGUGUGGGAGGACGCCUUUCGGGGUGUAAACCACUGUUGCCCGGGACGAACAGCCCUUUUCGAGGGGUCUGACGGUACCGGGUGAGGAAGCACCGGCUAACUCCGUGCCAGCAGCCGCGGUAAUACGGAGGGUGCGAGCGUUGUCCGGAAUCAUUGGGCGUAAAGGGCGCGUAGGUGGCCCGGUCAGCGUGCGGUGAAAGCUCGGGGCUCAACCCCGAGUCGGCCGUGCGAACUGCUGGGCUGGAGCACUGUAGAGGCAGGCGGAAUUCCGGGUGUAGCGGUGGAAUGCGUAGAGAUCCGGAAGAACACCGGUGGCGAAGGCGGCCUGCUGGGCAGUUGCUGACACUGAGGCGCGACAGCGUGGGGAGCAAACAGGAUUAGAUACCCUGGUAGUCCACGCCGUAAACGAUGGGCACUAGGCGCUUGGGGGAGCGACCCUCCGAGGGCCGGCGCUAACGCAUUAAGUGCCCCGCCUGGGGAGUACGGCCGCAAGGCUGAAACUCAAAGGAAUUGACGGAAUCGA